CCGAGUUGUAAAACUCCAAACCCAUGUGAACAUACUCGUGUUGCCUCGGCGGCGAGCCUACCCUGGAGCUACCCUGUAGGUGCCUACCCGGUACCUACCCUGGAGCUACCCUGGAGCUACCCUGUACUUACCUACCCGGUACCUACCCUGUAGCGCUGGCGGACCGCCGAAGGACCACCUAAACUCUUGUUUCUAUGUGGCACAUCUGAGUUACACAUAUAUAAAUAAGUCA
RNAcentral lists this unclassified non-coding RNA (232 nucleotides) under uncultured Xylariales. RNAcentral's name for it is "sequence contains ITS1". The record is from RNAcentral. Lineage: Eukaryota; Fungi; Ascomycota; Sordariomycetes; Xylariales.